This 440-nucleotide ribosomal RNA is filed under the name uncultured bacterium. RNAcentral's name for it is "partial 16S ribosomal RNA". It matches the Rfam family "Bacterial small subunit ribosomal RNA", at positions 338 to 795 of the family's 1533-position model. The record is from RNAcentral.
CCUACGGGGGGCAGCAGUGGGGAAUAUUGCACAAUGGGGGAAACCCUGAUGCAGCGACGCCGCGGGAGUGAAGAAGUAUUUCGGUGUGUAAAGCUCUGUCAGCAGGGACGAGAAUGACGGUACCUGAGUAAGAAGCCCCGGCUAACUACGUGCCAGCAGCCGCGGUAAUACGGAGGGGGCAAGCGUUAUCCGGAUUUACUGGGUGUAAAGGGAGCGUAGACGGCGAGGCAAGUCUGAAGUGAAAGCCCGCGGCUCAACCGCGGAACUGCUUUGGAAACUUUUUUGCUGGAGUACCGGAGAGGUAAGCGGAAUUCCUAGUGUAGCGGUGAAAUGCGUAGAUAUUAGGAGGAACACCAGUGGCGAAGGCGGCUUACUGGACGGUAACUGACGUUGAGGCUCGAAAGCGUGGGGAGCAAACAGGAUUAGAUACCCCUGUAGUC